GAUGAAGAACGUAGCGAAAUGCGAUAAGUAAUGUGAAUUGCAGAAUUCAGUGAAUCAUCGAAUCUUUGAACGCACAUUGCGCCCGCCAGUAUUCUGGCGGGCAUGCCUGUUCGAGCGUCAUUACAACCCUCAGGCCCCCGGGCCUGGCGUUGGGGAUCGGCGGAAGCCCCCUGUGGGCACACGCCGUCCCUCAAAUACAGUGGCGGUCCCGCCGCAGCUUCCAUUGCGUAGUAGCUAACACCUCGCAACUGGAGAGCGGCGAGGCCAUGCCGUAAAACACCCAACUUCUGAAUGUUGACCGCGAAUCAGGUAGGAAUACCCGCUGAACUUAAGCAUAUCAAUAAGCGGAGGA
This 352-nucleotide unclassified non-coding RNA is filed under the name soil metagenome. RNAcentral describes it as "partial contains 5.8S ribosomal RNA, internal transcribed spacer 2, and large subunit ribosomal RNA". The stretch from base 1 to 120 matches the Rfam family "5.8S ribosomal RNA", at positions 35 to 154 of the family's 154-position model. The record is from RNAcentral.